Molecule: ribosomal RNA, 253 nt
Filed under: uncultured bacterium
Lineage: Bacteria
Description: partial 16S ribosomal RNA
Rfam family: Bacterial small subunit ribosomal RNA
Source: RNAcentral
UACGUAGGGGGCUAGCGUUGUCCGGAAUCACUGGGCGUAAAGCGCGUGUAGGCGGCCCGGUAAGUCCGCUCUGAAAGUCGGGGGCUCAACCCUCGGAUGCGGGUGGAUACUGUCGGGCUUGAGUGCGGAAGAGGCGAGUGGAAUUCCUGGUGUAGCGGUGAAAUGCGCAGAUAUCAGGAGGAACACCAAUUGCGAAGGCAGCUCGCUGGGACGUUACUGACGCUGAGACGCGAAAGCGUGGGGAGCAAACAGG